GUAAUACCCUCUCCGUCCGGAAUUACUUGUCGCAGAAAUGGAUAAAAGCGGAUGUGUCUCGAAUUAAAAUACGUCUAGAUACAUUCAUUUCUUCGACAACUAUUUGCGGACGAAGGGAGUAUUUU
Molecule: non-coding RNA, 125 nt
Organism: Hordeum vulgare subsp. vulgare (domesticated barley)
Lineage: Eukaryota; Viridiplantae; Streptophyta; Magnoliopsida; Poales; Poaceae
Source: Rfam